AAACGUUCAUUUUUUCUGGUAAUCUAUUUACGUUAUUUUGUGAUAUACACAAAAAUAAGGAAGAAACACGUAUUGAAAAUGUAUUCGGACGAAGUACGCACGCAAAGAGAAUCUAAGUACAACGUAGAAACUUGGUUUGCAGUUUCGAAUCACAAGAUGGCUACACUUUCUUCUGACCAGAAAAAUUCUUGUUCGAUCGUGCAGCUAUCCUACUCCUAGUUUUCAGAAAAUAGCAAUUUUCUAUACCUUGGAAUAUUUUUUUCUUUACGAAUGAUCAAAGUGCAAACAUUGGAAUUGCGACUUGAUUAUGAGAAUAUCGGUAUCUGUACAAUCACUACACCAUUCUGUAGGUUUUAAGAAAUAUUGAUCAUCGUAGAAUUGAUUGGUACAGUAUUUUGAAAAAUUUAGGGUAACUCAAGGGUUGUAAGGGAAUAGAGUGGUCAGAAAAAUAUAGUUAUUUCUAUGGAGGCUACGAACAAUGCAUCUCUAGCAAACAAAUAGGUGCAAUAAUAGAAGUUCGGAUGUAACGGUGCGAUAGGAAAAUAUUUCUCAACUUUUCGUGUUCGGAAAUAUUACUUUCGCGAAAAGCAUUGGAAUAAUAACCUAAAACUUCAAAAUGUAUUAAAUAUGUACAUCUCCGAAUUAAUUAAACAUUUAUAAUACAUAGUGUAACAUUCAGUCGUCGAUUGAAUAUUAAUAACAAUUACGAUUCAGAAUAAGUAUUCAUUCGAGACAUUAAUCAACAGCCACUACAUUUCAGCGUUCGGUGUCGCCAUCUGUAUCAUCUUUCUGUACUCUCUGUACGCUGGACCAACUUUCAUACUUAGUCGAAUGGAACUAAAUACAUAGCUCUGGAAUAAUGGAGCCUUCUUCAAACGUAUUAUAAAUACAUAAGAUUUUUAACAAAGCCACACUUAAUUAUGCGCACACCCGCGACAAUAUAUUUUUGAGAAGAAGAAUAUUCAAAAAAUGAACAUCGUGUAAUUUAAGUAGUAGUCGAUUAUCGCAGCAGCAGUCGACGUCAUCUAAUUCAUUGUUGCAAACGAGAUCAUUGCGGUUGAUCAACGCGAUAAUGACAAAAUUACUCUCUCCGCUUUACGAGAUAAAUGUCACUUUCAAGGUCCUCAGCCAAUGAUGCCCCUUGAUUAUGCUCCACCCACCCGUUUUUCCUUUUUCUUCAAACGAAUGAUUCAGUGUUCCGUGGUAUCCUCAGUAAGUCUACGCAUUCGCGAAGAAAAUGCACGAUGAGCAUAAACCACAUAUGAUUAGAGGGACGGUGAGUCUAUCUGCGCCCAUUUUCUCCACAUGCUUUCCUUUACCAAAGUAACGAUUAUGACGUCUUAAAAUGCUUUGUCAACCCGUUCACUUCAGAACAUCAUAGAGAUUCUGUAUACUUAUGUAAAAGAUAUUUAAAGAACAAGUUUCAAAACUUGUCGAAAUUAAA
This is a long non-coding RNA of Hylaeus anthracinus, 1444 nucleotides long. RefSeq lists it as uncharacterized. The record is from RefSeq and is a predicted model, not a curated record. The transcript has 3 exons. Lineage: Eukaryota; Metazoa; Arthropoda; Insecta; Hymenoptera; Colletidae.